This 440-nucleotide ribosomal RNA is filed under the name uncultured bacterium. RNAcentral's name for it is "partial 16S ribosomal RNA". It matches the Rfam family "Bacterial small subunit ribosomal RNA", at positions 338 to 795 of the family's 1533-position model. The record is from RNAcentral.
CCUACGGGAGGCAGCAGUAGGGAAUAUUGCUCAAUGGGGGAAACCCUGAAGCAGCAACGCCGCGUAGAGGAUGAAGGUUUUCGGAUUGUAAACUCCUUUUGUUAGAGAAGAUAAUGACGGUAUCUAACGAAUAAGCACCGGCUAACUCCGUGCCAGCAGCCGCGGUAAUACGGAGGGUGCAAGCGUUACUCGGAAUCACUGGUCGUAAAGAGCGCGGAGGCGGGGUAGCAAGUCAGAUGUGAAAUCCUAUGGCUUAACCAUAGAACUGCAUUUGAAACUGGUUUUCUAGAGUACGGGAGGGGGAGGUAGAAUUCUAGGUGUAGGGGUAAAAUGCGUAGAGAUCAAGAGGAAUACUCAUGGCGAAGGCGACCUGCUAGAACAUAACUGACGCUGAUGCGCGAAAGCGUGGGGAGCAAACAGGAUUAGAUACCCGGGUAGUC